This 590-nucleotide unclassified non-coding RNA is filed under the name Hevea brasiliensis (rubber tree). Lineage: Eukaryota; Viridiplantae; Streptophyta; Magnoliopsida; Malpighiales; Euphorbiaceae. The record is from RNAcentral.
UUGCCCUCUAAGGUAGAGGAAGGUUUCUUCUCCUCCUCAAGGUAGGUUUCCCUCCUCAUCUUUGGGUGAGGCUGUGAAUAGUGUAUAUGUUUGAUUUUGAGUUUCAAGACAGAUAAAAUGGAGAGGAUCCUUGAGUUUUCUUGCGAUGAGGGUCUGUCGAUAGGAGGAAUCAUGUUUUCAACAUUACUCUGCUCUUCUAAGUGACUGUUUGAGUUAAGGCUUGGUGAGAAAGUGAUGGACACGUAUGGGUCCACUAGAUUGAUAUGCCUUUGGCUGACCCAAAGCUCUAAGAGACCGUGAUGCCUUGGUCCUCUUCGUUUAUCACUCUCCUUUUGGUCUUCUCUGUUGCUGUGAUGGUUGAGAUCUUGAGGUCCAAUAAAGGAUGAAUGGCGAUGGCUCAUAUGCAUGCUGCUCUCAUUGUGGAACUCUACUAGGGUUUUGGUCAUAUAGAGAUGUAUUUUUUCCCCCUUAAGGUUGGGGCUUAUAUUGUUUGGUUUGUGUUGUGUUGACUUGAGAUGGCUAUUUUGACCUCUUGAUUGUUUCUUGUUUUGGAGACAAGGCCUAUUAUAUGCACUCCUUUGACAUUCAAG